This 517-nucleotide ribosomal RNA is filed under the name uncultured bacterium. RNAcentral describes it as "bacterial SSU rRNA". It matches the Rfam family "Bacterial small subunit ribosomal RNA", at positions 29 to 518 of the family's 1533-position model. The record is from RNAcentral.
ACGAACGCUGGCGGCGUGCCUAAUACAUGCAAGUCGAACGGUCUUUCUAUGGAAGCUUGCUUCCACUGAGAAGAUAGUGGCGAACGGGUGAGUAACACGUGGGUAACCUGCCCAUAAGAGGGGGGAUAACAUCCGGAAACGGGUGCUAAUACCGCAUAGUUUUCUUGAUCGCAUGAUCGGGAAAGGAAAGACGGCCUUUGUGCUGUCGCUUAUGGAUGGACCCGCGGCGUAUUAGUUAGUUGGUGAGGUAACGGCUCACCAAGACGAUGAUACGUAGCCGACCUGAGAGGGUGAUCGGCCACAUUGGGACUGAGACACGGCCCAAACUCCUACGGGAGGCAGCAGUAGGGAAUCUUCCGCAAUGGACGAAAGUCUGACGGAGCAACGCCGCGUGAGUGAAGAAAGGUUUUCGGAUCGUAAAACUCUGUUGUCAGAGAAGAACAAGUUGGAGAGUAACUGCUCCAGCCUUGACGGUAUCUGACCAGAAAGCCACGGCUAACUACGUGCCAGCCGCUGC